This 468-nucleotide ribosomal RNA is filed under the name uncultured bacterium. RNAcentral describes it as "partial 16S ribosomal RNA". It matches the Rfam family "Bacterial small subunit ribosomal RNA", at positions 28 to 507 of the family's 1533-position model. The record is from RNAcentral.
GACGAACGCUGGCGGCGUGCUUAACACAUGCAAGUCGAACGGAAAGGCCCUGCUUUUGUGGGGUGCUCGAGUGGCGAACGGGUGAGUAACACGUGAGUAACCUGCCCUUGACUUUGGGAUAACUUCAGGAAACUGGGGCUAAUACCGGAUAGGAGCUCCUGCUGCAUGGUGGGGGUUGGAAAGUUUCGGCGGUUGGGGAUGGACUCGCGGCUUAUCAGCUUGUUGGUGGGGUAGUGGCUUACCAAGGCUUUGACGGGUAGCCGGCCUGAGAGGGUGACCGGCCACAUUGGGACUGAGAUACGGCCCAGACUGCUACGGUAGGCAGCAGUGGGGAAUAUUGCACAAUGAGCGGAAGCCUGAUGCAGCAACGCCGCGUGCGGGAUGACGGCUUUCGGGUUGUAAACCGUUUUCGCCUGUGACGAAGCGUGAGUGACGGUAAUGGGUAAAGAAGCACCGGCUAACUACGUG